Molecule: ribosomal RNA, 504 nt
Filed under: Amphisbaena bolivica
Lineage: Eukaryota; Metazoa; Chordata; Lepidosauria; Squamata; Amphisbaenidae
Description: partial large subunit ribosomal RNA
Rfam family: Bacterial large subunit ribosomal RNA
Source: RNAcentral
AAAGUCACGCCUGCCCAGUGAUAAUAUUUUUAACGGCCGCGGUAUCCUAACCGUGCAAAGGUAGCGUAAUCACUUGUUCUCUAAAUAAGGACUAGUAUGAACGGCAACAUGAGGACCACCUUGUCUCUCACGCUAAGUCAAUGAAACUGAUCUUCCGGUCCAAAAGCCGGAAUAUACCUACAAGACGAGAAGACCCUGUGGAGCUUCAAAUUGCACCUCACCAAAAUUUGAGCCUGCAAUUUUUGGUUGGGGCGACCUUGGAGCAAAACAAAACCUCCAAAAUACCAAACUAUCAGGCCGUCACGCCACAUAGACCACUAAACCUUCCGACCCAAUAUAAUUGACUAAUGAACCAAGUUACCCCAGGGAUAACAGCGCAAUCUUCUUUUAGAGUCCCUAUCGACAAGAAGGUUUACGACCUCGAUGUUGGAUCCGGAUACCCCAAUGGUGCAGCCGCUAUUAAAGGUUCGUUUGUUCAACGAUUAAUAAUCCUACGUGAUCUGA